AUUGAACGCUAGCGGGAUGCCUUACACAUGCCAGUCGAACGGAGUGGCGAACGGGUGAGUAAUGUAUCGGAACGUGCCCAGUAGCGGGGGAUAAAUACGCGAAAGCGUAGCUAAUACCGCAUACUAUUGGAGCGGCCGAUAUCGGAUUAGCUAGUUGGUGGGGUAACGGAUCCCAAAGGAGACGAUCCGUAGCUGGUUUGAGAGGACGACCAGCCACUCUGGGACUGAGACACGGCGCAGACUCCGACGGGAGGCAGCAGUGGGGAAUUUUUGAAAAUGGGGGAAACCCUGAUCCAGCCAGCCCGCGUGUGCGAUGAAGGCCUUCGGGUUGUAAAGCACUUGUGGCAGGAAAGCGUUACCUGCAGAAUAAGCACCGGCUAACUACGUGCCAGCAGCCGCGGUAAUUC
This 407-nucleotide ribosomal RNA is filed under the name uncultured bacterium. RNAcentral's name for it is "partial 16S ribosomal RNA". It matches the Rfam family "Bacterial small subunit ribosomal RNA", at positions 30 to 526 of the family's 1533-position model. The record is from RNAcentral.